RNA transcript from Vitis riparia (riverbank grape), 2125 nucleotides. It is a transcript of the gene named AUGMIN subunit 1-like, with no coding region annotated. The record is from RefSeq and is a predicted model, not a curated record. The transcript has 7 exons. NCBI's taxonomy places the organism in Eukaryota, Viridiplantae, Streptophyta, Magnoliopsida, Vitales, Vitaceae.
AAACAGGAAAGCGAGUUCAAAAUGUCAUGCAAACGGCGCCAUUUUACUAGGUUUGAAACGACGCUCUCUCACCGACCAAACGGCAGAUAGAUCGUCUCUCCCGUGUCGUAGAAACUGAGAAAUCAGCAAUGAGUGACAAAAUUUCAGGAAGUGAUCCUUCGGUAAUUGAAAUCGAAAGCAAUUUGGAUAGCGGUCGAAUCUCAGAUGUGAAAGCAUGGCUAGCCUCUCAAUACGAUGCCGCUGGCAAAGACGUCCCCGAUUUCGAAUACACUCCUCGAACCAUCGGUCGUCUCCACAACCUCUCAAGUCUCUCCCAAGCCAAAACCCAAGCUGCCGGCAUACUAGCCACCGAUUUCCGCCAAAAAGCCGCCGAAUAUCGUUGCCAAGCGGCUAGGGUUAGGGAGAUAUUGGAGAAUGUGGGAUUGCCACAAGAGGGUUUGCCUUCAAAUGUGGUUGCAUCAGCGCAGUGUCUUGCGAAUGUGGCAAAUUUGUUGAAUACAAAAGAUACUGAAUUGAGUAGUUUUCUUGUAGCAAUGGGGGACAUGUCUUUGAGGAAAUGUGAAGUGGAGGAGAAGAGGGCUAAAGUGCAGAAGGAGUCCAAAAUUCUUCUUGAUUACACCCGAAAAGCAAUUGCAAGGAUGACUUAUUUGAAAAGAAUUCUUGGACAGCUGGAAGAUGAUGUAGCUCCACGUGAGGCUCAGAUGGAAAACUGGAAGACAAACUUGGCAAUAAUGGCAUCAAAAGAGCGACAAUACCUGCAGCAAUAUCGUAACUAUAAGGCAUUACUUAAUCGUGUGGGCUACACCCCAGAGAUCAGCCAUGGGGUGUUGGUUGAAAUGGCUGAGCACCGGAAGGAUUUGGAGAAGAAAACAAAGCCCAUCCUUGAUACUUUGAGAAGCUACCAGGACUUGCCUCCUGAUAAAGCCUUGGCUGCUCUAGCCAUUGAGGACAAGAAAAGGCAGUAUGCUGCUGCAGAGAAGCGCCUUGAAGAUGUGUUGCAAUCAGCUCUUGCCACUUCUGAGUAACAUGCCAGAGCUUGUUCCUCCUGUAUCACAUGAGUCCCUAACACAUACACUCAGGUUGCUGUCUUGGCUUCGUCUGUCUAGCCAAGCUAAUGCAGGAUCUGUGUAUGGGGAAGAAGAUUGGUAGUGCUAGGGAGGUUGAUGGACUAUUUCUCUUAGAAGAAAAAAUGCAAGGUGGUGAAAUGAAAGGGGUGUAUCAAUCUGAAAGUAGUAUAGCAGAGAAUAAAGAAAUCUGGUUGUGGCAUUGUAGACUAGGACACCUUAGUUUCUCUUAUCUAAAACCGUUGUUUCCUAGUUUAUUCAAGAAUAAAGAUAUUUCUCAAUUUAAAUGUGAGAAUUGUGAGUAUGCCAAACACCAUAGGGCUUCUUUUCCCAUUCAAAUUUAUGAAAAAUCUUGUCUUUUCAUGUUAAUUCAUAGUUAUAUUAGGGGACCCUCUCGUGUUAAAACUAAUACUGGAGUUCGUUGGUUUAUAACAUUCAUUGAUGAUCACACUAGAGUGUGUUAGGUGUAUUUGUUGAACGAAAAGUCUAAAGCUGCUAGUGUGUUUAAACAAUUUCACAAGAUGAUCUUAAAUCAAUUUGAAACCAGCAUUAAGAUCCUUCACACAGAUAAUGGGAGAGAGUAUUACUCAAAUAUUCUAGGAGAGCAUCUACAAAAAGAAGGAAUCAUUCAUCAUUCAUCAUGUAUUGACACUCCACAACAAAAUGGAGUGUUGGAAAGAAAAAAUCGUCGCCUUCUUGCAGUUGACCAUGCCAUGAUGUUCCAAAUGAACAUUCCAAAGUUGUUCCAGGGAGAAGCUAUUUUGACAACAUCCUAUUUGAUCAAUAGAAUGCCAACCCAUGUCCUAAGAUAUGAAACUCCCAUAAAUACCCUAAAACAAUGUUUUCCUGCCUCUCAUCAUUUGUUUUCAUCCCUAACUCCUAAGUUUUUUGGUUGCACAGGUUGUCUCCAUAUUAAUGGCCACGAUCGUAGCAAGUUUGAUCCUAGGACACAUAAAUGCAUUUUCCUUGGAUAUCACCCAACUUAGAAAGGCUAUAAGUGUUAUCACCCACGAUCACAAAAGUAUUUUACAUCUAUGGAUGUAUCUUUCUUUGAGAACCAA